Molecule: long non-coding RNA, 341 nt
Filed under: Amborella trichopoda
Lineage: Eukaryota; Viridiplantae; Streptophyta; Magnoliopsida; Amborellales; Amborellaceae
Description: long non-coding RNA (ATRI_LNC003211)
Source: RNAcentral
GUAGUUUUUUUUUAAAAAAAAGAAUGGAUGUUUUAAUAAAAUAAAACAUAUGAAUUAGUUAAGAGAGAGAGAGGAGGCUUUUAAUAAAAUAAAUCUUAAACAAAUAGGUUAUCGUUGAAGUGAGCAUAAGUAAGAGAGCUAGGAUAUUGGGUUUUUUUAUUUGAAUGAAAGAGGGCAACCGUGAGAUAAAAGAAAAAAGGGAAAAUUGAUUGAGGAGGAGAGAAAAUUUUGAAUUUGGACGAAGUGACGAAAUUUGACAAGAGAAAACGGGAAAAACUAAACGAAAAGAAUGAAAGGUGGAAGUGGGUGUUUCUUUUGUGGGUUCUUUUAGAGAGAGAACG